RNAcentral lists this ribosomal RNA (490 nucleotides) under Pinctada margaritifera. RNAcentral describes it as "partial 16S ribosomal RNA". It matches the Rfam family "Bacterial large subunit ribosomal RNA", at positions 1838 to 2597 of the family's 2925-position model. The record is from RNAcentral. Lineage: Eukaryota; Metazoa; Mollusca; Bivalvia; Pterioida; Pteriidae.
AACAUACAUAGAAAAUACUGCCUGCCCAAUGACUAAUCCGCACUAGUUAAAUGGCCGCGUUAGCGUGAGCGUGCUAAGGUAGCGUAAUAAUUAGCCCCUUAAUUGGGGGCCAGUGAAAGGCAAGACGAGAAAAAACUUUCCCUUGUAUGUCAAAAUAACCUUACGUCCGAGUGAAAAGUCUCGGAUACUUGAGGAAGACAAAAAGACCCUGCGGAGCUUUACCUUAUUCUGCCAACGUUAUCACAUAACCAUUAAGCUAAAAGGUUUGGUUGGGGCAACCUUGGAACAACCAAAUCUUCCAAUCUACAUCCUUUAAAAAGCACAUAUAUAACUAGUUAUGGGCCACAAAGAAGCUACCCCAGGGAUAACAGCGUAAUCCAGCUUUAGAGUACACAUCGAAAGUUGGGUUUGCGACCUCGAUGUUGGCUUAAGGUAAUUCACAUAAGCGCAGCCGCUAUGAGAGAGUAGUCUGUUCGACUAUUAUACCCUU